AGUGAGAUCUAUUCUGAUGGGGCUUUUCCUGUAGCUGCACAUCAUUAGAAACACCUCAUAGAGUAACACUGUAGUUUGCUUUCCUCAAUGGACUAUUGGUCAGGUCUGUGAGAAGGAACUAUUAUAGUCUA
Molecule: small nucleolar RNA, 131 nt
Organism: Tupaia belangeri (northern tree shrew)
Lineage: Eukaryota; Metazoa; Chordata; Mammalia; Scandentia; Tupaiidae
Source: Ensembl